GUGAGGAAUUUUCCGCAAUGGGCGAAAGCCUGACGGAGCAAUGCCGCGUGAAGGAUGAAGGCCUAUGGGUUGUAAACUUCUUUUCUUAGAGAAGAAUAUUGACGGUAUCUGAGGAAUAAGCAUCGGCUAACUCUGUGCCAGCAGCCGCGGUAAUACGAAGGUCCCAAGCGUUGUUCGGAAUCACUGGGCGUAAAGGGAGCGUAGGCUGCGCGGUAAGUCAGGUGUGAAAUCCCGGGGCUCAACCCCGGAACUGCACCCGAUACUGCCGUGCUAGAGGGUUGGAGAGGUGACUGGAAUUCUCGGUGUAGCAGUGAAAUGCGUGGAUAUCGAGAGGAACACUCGUGGCGAAGGCGAGUCACUGGACAACAUCUGACGCUGAGGCUCGAAGGCCAGGGGAGCAAAAGGGAUUAGAUACCCUGGUAGUCC
This 426-nucleotide ribosomal RNA is filed under the name uncultured bacterium. RNAcentral's name for it is "partial 16S ribosomal RNA". It matches the Rfam family "Bacterial small subunit ribosomal RNA", at positions 354 to 796 of the family's 1533-position model. The record is from RNAcentral.